Molecule: ribosomal RNA, 377 nt
Filed under: uncultured bacterium
Lineage: Bacteria
Also listed under: 1 other name
Description: bacterial SSU rRNA
Rfam family: Bacterial small subunit ribosomal RNA
Source: RNAcentral
AUACGUAGGUGGCAAGCGUUGUCCGGAUUUAUUGGGCGUAAAGCGAGCGCAGGCGGUUUCUUAAGUCUGAUGUGAAAGCCCCCGGCUCAACCGGGGAGGGUCAUUGGAAACUGGGAGACUUGAGUGCAGAAGAGGAGAGUGGAAUUCCAUGUGUAGCGGUGAAAUGCGUAGAUAUAUGGAGGAACACCAGUGGCGAAGGCGGCUCUCUGGUCUGUAACUGACGCUGAGGCUCGAAAGCGUGGGGAGCAAACAGGAUUAGAUACCCUGGUAGUCCACGCCGUAAACGAUGAGUGCUAAGUGUUGGAGGGUUUCCGCCCUUCAGUGCUGCAGCUAACGCAUUAAGCACUCCGCCUGGGGAGUACGACCGCAAGGUUGAA